CUUAUUCACACCCCACCACGCUUGCGGUGGCAGCAGGGGGGACAAACUCGCUAGAUUUUGUAGCGACGGAAGUGGAGUUAGUUCUGUAAUACAAGGGGGACAGUCAUAGAGGCAGCACCGUCGACCCUUCUCUUUUCCGCUCUAAUCCCCUUGUCAUCAAAUUAAUUAUUGGCGAUUUGUUGGACCUGUAACGACCUGCGACGUAGAAUUAGAGCAGAGAAUUUGUAGCGACUAAUUUCAAGAUGGUACGUAGGUGUUGUGUGCCCAAAUGCAAAUCCAAAAAGGAUACACCCAUGCAUCGAUUUCCACAAGAUGUUAAUAAAGUAGAACAAUGACUCAAAACAAUAACACGAACUGAUUUGAUAGGUGCAUCAAGAAAAGUAUUGGACGAAUUACGGAUUUGUACUGUACAUUUUCCAGAUGAAAUGAUUAACAUUUAUACCAAAAGGCGCGUUUUAAAACCAGAUGCUAUUCCAGCUUUAGCCAUUAAUUCAAUUAUUGAAACAGAGACUGUAAAUGCUAAUGCAGAAAUUAUUAAUAUAGAUAUAAAUAAUGAUAAUUGUGCUAUGUCAUAUAGUAAUGUUAGUAAUGUCAAUAACGUCAAUAGUAUCAAUAAUGUCAGUAACGUCAGUAAUAUCAAUAACAUCAGUAACGUCAGUAAUAUCAAUAACAUCAGUAACGUCAGUAAUGUUAAUAAUAGUAAUGUUAAUAAUACUAAUGUCAGUAACGUAGCAAUGGAAAAUGUACAGUGCAUUCCUAAUUUUAUGCCAAUAUUGAAAAAAUCUAUUGAUCAUGAAGAAGUAAGAUACCUGAAAAAUGACAUAAGAAGAUUGAAGAAACAUGUAAACAAAAAGAAGAAACUUAUUGAAAAGCACGCCAGGGAAAAAAAGAAAUCACGCACAAAUAAAUGGGAUAGCAUCACUGAAGAUUUGACGAAGUCGCAGAAAAUAUUUUUCGAUAUCAUAUAAAAAAACUUAAAACGUGCACCAGAGGGGCCAGAUGUUAAAAUAAAAGAUGCAAUAGGUAUAAUAAACAUGGAAAAAAGAAAGGAACAGAUCAUUCAGAAGAGAGGAGUAAAAGAAGAAAAAAGCAAACUCUGACAAUCAAAACACUUGGAUAAGAUGAUAAAAAAUAUGGCUGUUAAGCAGAUGGAAAAAUCUACAGGCUAAGGCCCGUUGCACACAAGAUGCUUCAACGAGGCAAAGUAGUCAAUCAUUCUUUCAUUUCGCUGUGAAACGAAAGAAUGAUUGACUACUUGCCGAGCGUAACGCGUUGAGGCAUCCUGUGUGCAAUAGCCAUAACGGAUAUUUUAAAAAGAACUUAAUUUGCAUUACAUGUAUGUUGCAUUACAUAUUAUAUUUCUGUCAUAUACUUCAUUUUGUAUUUCUGAAAUAUAUUGACAUUAUUGUAAUAAAUACAUUUAUUAUGUGUC
Molecule: RNA transcript, 1432 nt
Organism: Solenopsis invicta (red fire ant)
Lineage: Eukaryota; Metazoa; Arthropoda; Insecta; Hymenoptera; Formicidae
Gene name: metacaspase-2-like
Exons: 6
Source: RefSeq, a predicted model, not a curated record